Molecule: long non-coding RNA, 2455 nt
Organism: Eriocheir sinensis (Chinese mitten crab)
Lineage: Eukaryota; Metazoa; Arthropoda; Malacostraca; Decapoda; Varunidae
Exons: 3
Source: RefSeq, a predicted model, not a curated record
CGUUGCCCAACACGCGUUAAUAUUAAGCCAUUAGACGGAAGAUAUUGUGGGCCAUGGUGCCAAGUUGUGAUUUUCAAGGGUGGUUUAAGCGCCAAGUGUCUACGAGAGUGCCACAAAGGGUAUGGCCGUAGUAUUCAAGGGCCAUGGACCACCGAAGGGCCAUUAGAGGGAAGAUACUGUGUGCCAUGGUGCCAAGUGUCUACGAGGGUGCCACAGAGAGUUAGGUAGACGCCCCUGCCAUGGCCUUACUCAACUAGGGCCAUGGACCACCGGAGGGCCAUUGGAGGGGAGAAAUAAUGGUCCAUAGUGCCAUAUUUUGUGAUUUUCAAGGAGUAGCUGUGAAUGGCCUCAAUGAAGAAUGCGAGAAGUCUGAACAUGAGAUACAGGAGGAGGAGGAGGAGGAGGGCCUGAUACGACAAGAAUGUGGCUUCACCUACAGGGGAUGCAUUUGAGAUUAAGGUCUGUGUGGAGGUGGGGGAGGAAGACUGCAGGAGGCUGUAGAGGGGUGGAUUGGGUGAAGGGGGACUUGACAACACUACCAUGCAAGCUGGGCUAAGGUAAUGUAUGAUUGGUUUUGUUACGCUCAAAGGGAAGGGCGAUCCCAGAUACGUCGUGGAGGCGCUGUUUUGGCCUGGCCGUAGUGAGUUUCUUUAUGUGCACCAUUUAAUUCUGCAUGUUUUCGUAUAUAAUACAUGAUGAUUAUGUUGAGUUUAUGGCUGAAAACUUGUUAUAUUCAAUAGCGACAUUUGAAAUUUGGCGCGCACGGUGAUCUCGGAUACGGUCCGGGGCGCUGUUUUGGCCCGGCCGUAGUGAAGGGGUUAAGUGUAAUCUAUGAAGGCUACUUAUCUAUAAGCAUUUAAGUGUAAGGUUCUGUGGGGUAACUAAUCUAAGUGUAAUGGUGCAUUCUGUGGGAAUUACUUAAGUGUAAUCUAUGAAGGCUACAUCUAUAAGUAUAUAAGUGUGUAAGGUCCUGUGGGGUAACUAAUCUAAGGUUAUGUACAACUACUGGUUCUGGUGCUGUGGGUAACUCCUACAAACCCUUUCUACUAUGGCUAUUAAUUAACAAAAACCUCUUACUUUCAGCUUGUGUACUGGGUUAAAAAAUAGUUAAUGUUAGAGCCGGAAGCAUCUGACAAUCCCAUCUCUUUCUUACAGGCCAAACACUGCAGAGGAGGAGGAGGAGAAGAAGGAGGAAGAAGAAGAAGAAGAAGAAGAAGAAGGAGGAGGAGGAGGAAGAAGAAGGAGGAGAAGGAGGAAGAAGAAGGAGGAGGAGGAGGAGGAGGAAGAAGAAGGAGGAGGAGGAGGAGGCAACUUAUAAAUACAGGCAGAAGUAUAUGUGCCAAGGAAAAUAUUUAAAUGAUCUGUAUUAUGUAAAGUAUUGAAUUUAAAAUAUAUCUACUAAUAAUUUCUAUGCAUGUUUACAGGGUUACAUAUUUAAGCUGUAAUAUAAUUUGUAUGUAUUUAAAUGGGGUUUUAGUUAUAAGGUGUUUGGUAUUGCUAUACUUAUAAAAUCUUCGGUUUUUGGGUAUAUAAUUCUAAGUAAGUGUUUCCCUACGUUAUUUAAGUGUAAAGUAAGUGUGUAAGGUAUUAAGUUAUAUAUUAAAGUGUGUACCGGGUUCUCUAAUAAGUGUGUAGUGAUGGGAAGUAUUUAAGUGGAAUGUAUAAAGGUUCUACACUUUUUUGCCCUUGAAAAAAAAAUACUGUGAAAUCUUUAAGUGUACUGUAUGAAGGCUAUACAUUUAUAAGUAUGUGUAACGUCCUGUGGGGGCUAACUAAUGUAAGGGUGAUUUCAUAAGUGUUACCGUAGUGGUGUGACUUAAUCAGCAACCUCUACUGCAAUUAGUCUGAGUACAAUUACUGGUUCUGGUACUCUGAGUAUUAACAAAACCUUUUAAUUUCAGUUACCAAGGACAACCUCUGCUGCUCCGGGUAUCAACUCCUGCACUCCUGGGACUGGUGUAACAUCUGCAUGCCCUCGUAAUAACUCACUCUGCUUCUGCUGUUCGUAACACCUCGCUCUGCGUCUGCUGUCGUAACGAAGAGCAUGGCUUCUGUGUACUAACUCCUGCUCGCUUAACCCGCAUGGAUUUUGUAUAACGCCUAUAGUUUUCGUGUGACGGUUCCCUUCGCUCUUCCUUCAUAACUAAUCGCACGGCUUUGCAUAAAAACUCCGGCAACUUACGGCUUAAAUUUCGCAUGAGAACUACUCCUGCUUACGUAUGACAAUUCUCUCUGUCUUUCCUAACGACUCAUGGAUUUUGCAUAACCCCAUUCCAUUUCCGCUGUCAUGCUAACCCAUACUAAUGCUGGCUGGAGUAUCCUAACCCAUAGUCUAAGCUGCCGGCCAGAGCUUCAGGUGACCCCUAACUUGAAGCCUGUCGGAUCAGCGUCUAGCGAGGGAGGUUCCGUCAGGUUCCGUUCCCCCCUAGAGAUGUCUCCACCUUAAAAAAAUAGU